CUAGUAUGAAAAUCGUCCACUUUUAUAAGACCAACUAAAAAUCUCGUCAUAUUGGUUGGACUCAAAAUACUACUCUUUCAUAUAAUAGUGUCAAAAAAUAAAAUAAAAUCAUACAAUAUAUCUUGUAUCGUUAUUAAGAAAUGCGUACAGCUUAAUUUAAUAGAGUGAUGAAAUUGCUGGUUUGCUUCAGCCCGACCCACAACGUGCGCGUUUCCCCUUUACGUAAGAGUGCAUUUUAACACUAACGAUGUUGAUCCAAGAUUCAAUAUAUUAUACUAUAAGAUUACGGUAGCCUAGUAAGUUGGUUAUGUAUAUAAUAUAUAACUAAUUUAAGUUUAAUAAGAUCAACAUGAGGGCAUUAAUGUCAACUGGCCCGUGGCGUCUGAAACUCUUGAUGUAAAUUAAAUACAGUUUUGACUUUUACCCGUACCAUAUAAACAAACCUUUUAGACUUUUAGUAUUUAGAAGUUGAACGUAAGUCAUGUUAAUGUUGGUUACUAGUACGCAUGCAAUUUCCGAAGUUCGGAAUCACUUGGGACUCGAUUUUGACCAGAUAUGUGAUAAUGUGAAUAAAAAAUGGAUUGUGUAAUCAGUUUUAGAUUGUCCAACUGAUUCAGCUGAUGUAAUAGAACGACUUUUAGAAUACAUGUUAACAUAUACUCUCUCUGUUUUUUAAUGUUACAUAUUCUAAUUGUUUCACACAUUUUAAUAAAACACAUUAAAUUUGUAUAAUUUUUUGUGUUUAUUUUUGUUCUAUAAUUUUAAACCACUAAAAAUUUAGUAAGUGUAAUUAAAUUUUUUGAAAUUUGCAAUUAGUUAAUAAAAUAUGUUUUGAAAAUAUAAAAAUGAUUUUUUUUAAAACAAAUUUUUUUUCUAGAAUAUGUAAUAUUAAAAAACAGAUGGAAAAUAUGUUAUCUACUUAUAAAUGUGGACUAUCUAAGAGCAUCUCCAAAGGCACUCUAUUUUUUCCUCUAUAAUUUACACUAAAAUAGAGUAACUCUAUUAUAGAGUUAAAUUUGCUCCAAUGGUUCACUCUAUAAUAGAGUUACUCUAUAAUAGAGUGAAAUAUAGAGUAAUCAUAUUUUUUUACUCCAAAUAUAGAGUGAAAAAACAAGAAUACUCUAUAUUUUACUCUAUUAUAGAGUAACUCUUAUAGAGUGAACCAUUGGAGCAAAUUCAACUCUACAAUAGAGUUACUCUAUUUUAGAGUGAAAUAUAGAGGAAAUUAUAGAGUGUGAUUGGAGAUGAUCUAAGAGAUCAGUUCGUGGAUGAAGGCAGUAAAUAUACUGGAAGAAAACCUUCCGUCUUGAAGAGAUAAGUCGGUCGCAUACGACCAACUGCAAUGAAUAUUAAGAACUCGGCCUACUGGGCCAGCUGUAACCGACGCAGGCCCAUAGAAACCCAUGACAAUGCGCGCUUUAGAUAGAUACAAAGUUAAUUGGCGUAAACACACAAAAAAGGCAAAGAUGGCCACGUCUCUCUCUACUGCAAAUAAGGUAGUUCUUCUGUCUUCACCAUGAAGCAAACACGAGUUUUGACAGAAGAGACGAACACACACAGACAAACACAAUCUUUUGACAGAAGAGACUAACACACACAAACUCUCUACGAUUCUCUCUCAAAGAAGUAAAGAGAAGAGGAACGGAAGCGAAAAGGGCAAAUAAAGGAAGACCCAGAAGAGGAGAAGUCAUACUUAUCGCCGGCGGAGAAGUUGUAAAGCUUGCCGGAGGCUGAGACAACGAGAAGAGCGACGGAUGCAUCGCAGAGAACUGAAAGCUGACGAGCUUUCUCGAUGAGACCAUUGCGUCGUUUGGAGAAGGUGACUUGUCGGCUACUUUUGUUCUCAAUUCGCUUGAUCUCUAGUUUCUUUCUUCCCAUGGCUUCUGUCUCCGAGAAGCCUUUGUGCCCUAAUUUGAUCCUGAGGUUCGGUUUCAACUCUCGCCGGAGAUACUGAGCGUUUUUUGUUCUUUCUUAUUUUUGCUUUUAUUUUCUUUCUUUUUUGCUUUUAUUUCUUUCUUUUUGUGUCUCUCCUUUUUCUCCCUCGGGCCACUUUUUAUUAGGGUAAACGAGAGAGAUGAAAAUAAAAAUUCGUAGAAAGAACCAAUGUGGUUCAGGGACAAGACAGCCACGUGUACCGCAUGACGAGUUCCCUCGUUGGCUCUUGCCUCUUGCCUUUAUUAUCUUUUAUCGAAUAAUUUAUCAAGU
Long non-coding RNA from Brassica napus (rape), 2205 nucleotides. RefSeq lists it as uncharacterized. The record is from RefSeq and is a predicted model, not a curated record. NCBI's taxonomy places the organism in Eukaryota, Viridiplantae, Streptophyta, Magnoliopsida, Brassicales, Brassicaceae. The transcript has 2 exons.